CACGUAGGGUGCGAGCGUUGUCCGGAAUUAUUGGGCGUAAAGAGCUCGUAGGCGGUGUGUCACGUCGGCCGUGAAAACCUGCAGCUUAACUGUGGGCGUGCGGUCGAUACGGGCAUCACUGGAGUUCGGCAGGGGAGACUGGAAUUCCUGGUGUAGCGGUGAAAUGCGUAGAUAUCAGGAGGAAUACCGGUGGCGAAAGCGACUCUCUGGACGGCAACUGACGCUGAGGCACGAAAGCGUGGGGAGCAAACAGG
This 254-nucleotide ribosomal RNA is filed under the name uncultured bacterium. Its description in RNAcentral is "partial 16S ribosomal RNA". It matches the Rfam family "Bacterial small subunit ribosomal RNA", at positions 524 to 776 of the family's 1533-position model. The record is from RNAcentral.